CAGCCGCCGCGGGAAUACCGAGGGUGCAAGCGUUAAUCGGAAUUACUGGGCGUAAAGCGCGCGUAGGUGGUUUGUUAAGUUGGAUGUGAAAUCCCCGGGCUCAACCUGGGAACUGCAUCCAAAACUGGCAAGCUAGAGUAUGGUAGAGGGUGGUGGAAUUUCCUGUGUAGCGGUGAAAUGCGUAGAUAUAGGAAGGAACACCAGUGGCGAAGGCGACCACCUGGACUGAUACUGACACUGAGGUGCGAAAGCGUGGGGAGCAAACAGGAUUAGAUACGCCUGUAGUCCCUGUCUCUUAUAC
Molecule: ribosomal RNA, 301 nt
Filed under: uncultured bacterium
Lineage: Bacteria
Description: partial 16S ribosomal RNA
Rfam family: Bacterial small subunit ribosomal RNA
Source: RNAcentral